Molecule: transfer RNA, 76 nt
Filed under: Oligoflexia bacterium
Lineage: Bacteria; Pseudomonadati; Bdellovibrionota; Oligoflexia
Description: tRNA-Thr
Rfam family: tRNA
About the family: Transfer RNA (tRNA) molecules are approximately 80 nucleotides in length.
Source: RNAcentral
GCUGGCAUAGCUCAACUGGUAGAGCACCUGAUUUGUAAUCAGGCGGUUAUCGGUUCAAUUCCGGUUGCCAGCUCCA